UAAUACAGAGGUGGCAAGCGUUGUUCGGAAUUACUGGGCGUAAAGGGCUCGUAGGCGGCCAACUAAGUCAGACGUGAAAUCCCCAGGCUUAACCUGGGAACUGCGUCUGAUACUGGAUGGCUUGAAUUCGGGAGAGGGAUGCAGAAUUCCAGGUGUAGCGGUGAAAUGCGUAGAUAUCUGGAGGAAUACCGGUGGCGAAGGCGGCAUCCUGGACCGACAUUGACGCUGAGGAGCGAAAGCUAGGGGAGCAAACGGGAUUAGAUACCCCGGUAGUCCUAGCCCUAAACGAUGAAUGCUUGGUGUGGCGGGUAUCGAUCCCUGCCGUGCCGAAGCUAACGCAUUAAGCAUUCCGCCUGGGGAGUACGGUCGCAAGGCUG
Molecule: ribosomal RNA, 377 nt
Filed under: uncultured bacterium
Lineage: Bacteria
Description: bacterial SSU rRNA
Rfam family: Bacterial small subunit ribosomal RNA
Source: RNAcentral